Molecule: ribosomal RNA, 354 nt
Filed under: uncultured bacterium
Lineage: Bacteria
Description: partial 16S ribosomal RNA
Rfam family: Bacterial small subunit ribosomal RNA
Source: RNAcentral
CCUACGGGUGGCAGCAGUGGGGAAUAUUGCGCAAUGGGCGAAAGCCUGACGCAGCGACGCCGCGUGAGGGAUGAAGGUCUUCGGAUCGUAAACCUCUGUCAGCAGGGAAGAACGGUCACUGUGCUAAUCAGCAGUGAAUUGACCGUACCUGCAAAGGAAGCACCGGCUAACUCCGUGCCAGCAGCCGCGGAAAUACGGGGGGUGCGAGCGUUAAUCGGAAUUACUGGGCGAAAAGCGGGCGUAGGCGGUAUGUCAAGUCAAGGGUGAAAUCCCGGCGCUCAACGUGGGAAGUGCCUUUGAAUCUGGCAAACUGGAGGGUGUGAGAGGAUAGGGGAAUUCGGGGUGUAGGUGAGA